ACUAGUGGGAAAUGAAUUUGUGUUGGUCAAAACCCCUUUUUAUUUUUCAUAAAACUAAAUAACAAAUUAACGUUAUAAUAUAAUUAGCAGGCAGAAAGCAUCAAUACAUGGCAACAGAAAAGUCUCUCUGAAGAUGAAAAAUAGCAGCUUGCAGGGUUUGAUAGUCUGCUGUUCGGGUAUUUAAAGUUGGACAUUGCACAAUAUGCUCCGAAAAAAAUAGUUUUGGAAAAGGGUGUGAAGUACUAUGAGCAGCUGUUAAAGGAGCAUGCUAAAGAGACGGGAGAGGACGAUGACAUCAAAGGGAAGCAACUCGACCCCGCCGUCUACUGCCAUCUCGGACACCUGCACCUGCUGCUGGAAGAUUAUCCAAAAGUCAGCUGUUCGUGUUUUUAAAGUUGGACAUUGCACAAGAUGCUCCAAAAAAAGUUUUGGAAAAGGGUGUGAAGUACUGUGACCUGCUGUCAAAGGAGCAUGCUAGAGCCGGGAGACGACGAUGACAUCAAAGGGAAGCAACUGGACCCUGCCAUCUCGGACACGUACACUUGCUGCUGGAAGAUUAUCCAAAAGAGAUGCCCUCCUGGCUUGGAAUUGCUGUGUUCGUUGACGACUCGCAUGUCUCCUGGCUAUCCGCUCGAUGCUCUUCAAGUGGCAUAUGACCAAUGUUUCGUCAUGUAUCCCAGCUCCCACAGCUGUACAUCGUUGAAUGACCGAACUUGAAAACCCACUGUUCAGCAUGUGCACAGCACUGUGUAUGUGGCUGGUGAAAUUUCUGUGAUAUUCUGCUCUGGGAUGACUGUAAUCCAGACAUGGCAUGGGAAUCGCCAUCAGUCGUGAAGAAUCCAAUCGUGAGUGGAGAGACGUCUGAUGAGAAGUCACUGGAACACUGAGCUGCAGAAUGUUUUUCAUCUCCUAUUGUGUCGUCAAGCCGGAGAUUUGCUGUACAGGAACUCGCCUGCCUGUGUACCACCUCCAGUUGAGAUCCGUGUUGGUCAGAGAAGUCUGAUGUCACUAGGAAUUCCAUCCGCAUCCUUGACGAUGUAUGACUGUCUAUCACAAUGGUGUACCACAGCGUUGAACUCUUCUUGACUAAGUCUCUUGGUAACUGGUAUGUUGUCACCUUCAGGCUUAAGACACUUUGUUUUAGUAACACCUAUAGUUCUUUUGAACAGACAUUGGUGUCCCUUUUGUAAGGCACCCUUGUUGUGCAGGUUUUCUGUUGGAUUUUUCUUUGGCUUCAUUGUUAGUACACUGGGUGUGGUAUAUUCUCUUAGUAUACGGAAAAGUGUGAACUUUUGUAUCUCUUAGCAUGUAGCAGUCUUCAGUGGAAUGGAACCUGUGGUGUGUGUUAUGUUAAUAAAUACUCUCAUGCAGUAAA
RNAcentral lists this long non-coding RNA (1375 nucleotides) under Gigantopelta aegis. Its description in RNAcentral is "uncharacterized LOC121374850, transcript variant X2". The record is from RNAcentral. Lineage: Eukaryota; Metazoa; Mollusca; Gastropoda; Neomphalida; Peltospiridae.